Molecule: unclassified non-coding RNA, 276 nt
Filed under: uncultured bacterium
Lineage: Bacteria
Description: partial contains 16S ribosomal RNA and 16S-23S ribosomal RNA intergenic spacer region
Rfam family: Bacterial small subunit ribosomal RNA
Source: RNAcentral
GAAAGCGGGAGCAAUCUCGCAAGUAAAGUGGCGUACGGGUGAGUAACACGUGGGUAAUCUACCUUCUGGUGGGGAAUAACCUUGGGAAACCGGGGAUAACACCGCAUAAGCUCGAGAGAGGAAAGCAGCAAUGCGCCGGAAGAGGAGCCCGCGGCCGAUUAGCUUGUUGGCAGGGUAAAAGCCUACCAAGGCUGAGAUCGGUAGCCGGCCUGAGAGGGCACACGGCCACACUGGCACUGAAACACGGGCCAGACUCCUACGGGAGGCAGCAGUGGG